RNAcentral lists this unclassified non-coding RNA (235 nucleotides) under plant metagenome. RNAcentral describes it as "partial contains small subunit ribosomal RNA, internal transcribed spacer 1, and 5.8S ribosomal RNA". The stretch from base 1 to 54 matches the Rfam family "Eukaryotic small subunit ribosomal RNA", at positions 1778 to 1831 of the family's 1831-position model. The record is from RNAcentral.
GGAGGUAAAAGUCGUAACAAGGUUUCCGUAGGUGAACCUGCGGAAGGAUCAUUCAUAAUAAGUGUUUUAUGGCACUUUUUUAAAUCCAUAUCCACCUUGUGUGCAAUGUCAGGGUUGAUUUUUCUCUCGAGAGGAUCAACCCCAAACAUCAACUAUAUCUCAACUCUUUGUCUGAAAAAUAUUAUGAAUAAAACAAUUCAAAAUACAACUUUCAACAACGGAUCUCUUGGCUCUC